This 214-nucleotide unclassified non-coding RNA is filed under the name Hevea brasiliensis (rubber tree). The record is from RNAcentral. Lineage: Eukaryota; Viridiplantae; Streptophyta; Magnoliopsida; Malpighiales; Euphorbiaceae.
GAAGCUAACUUAAGGAUGGGACGACUGCAGGAGUUGACUGAGAAUCCUGUAAAGAAAACUGCCAGUUUUGGCAAGAAGAAAGAGGGUGAUGUGUAUUCCAUCACUCGACAGAACACCCAAUCUUCAUUACCUCCAAAUAAUUACCGGCCAUGUCCUCCCCCUCAUGGCCAAACCAUUGCAAACAUUCCACCCCCUUUUCCCAAAUUAUCCUCAC